UAGGGAAUCUUCGGCAAUGGACGAAAGUCUGACCGAGCAACGCCGCGUGAGUGAAGAAGGUUUUCGGAUCGUAAAACUCUGUUGUUAGAGAAGAACAAGGACGUUAGUAACUGAACGUCCCCUGACGGUAUCUAACCAGAAAGCCACGGCUAACUACGUGCCAGCAGCCGCGGUAAUACGUAGGUGGCAAGCGUUGUCCGGAUUUAUUGGGCGUAAAGCGAGCGCAGGCGGUUUCUUAAGUCUGAUGUGAAAGCCCCCGGCUCAACCGGGGAGGGUCAUUGGAAACUGGGCGACUUGAGUGCAGAAGAGGAGAGUGGAAUUCCAUGUGUAGCGGUGAAAUGCGUAGAUAUAUGGAGGAACACCAGUGGCGAAGGCGGCUCUCAGGUCUGUAACUGACGCUGAGGCUCGAAAGCGUGGGGAGCAAACAGG
This 429-nucleotide ribosomal RNA is filed under the name Gemmatimonadota bacterium. Its description in RNAcentral is "Gemmatimonadetes bacterium partial 16S ribosomal RNA". It matches the Rfam family "Bacterial small subunit ribosomal RNA", at positions 355 to 776 of the family's 1533-position model. Lineage: Bacteria; Pseudomonadati; Gemmatimonadota. The record is from RNAcentral.